This 253-nucleotide ribosomal RNA is filed under the name uncultured bacterium. RNAcentral describes it as "partial 16S ribosomal RNA". It matches the Rfam family "Bacterial small subunit ribosomal RNA", at positions 524 to 776 of the family's 1533-position model. The record is from RNAcentral.
UACGUAGGAUGCAAGCGUUAUCCGGAAUUAUUGGGCGUAAAGCGUCCGCAGGUGGCUGUGUAAGUCUGCUGUCAAAGAGCAAAGCUCAACUUUGUAAAGGCAGUGGAAACUACACGGCUAGAGUGCGUUCGGGGCAGAGGGAAUUCCUGGUGUAGCGGUGAAAUGCGUAGAGAUCAGGAAGAACAUCGGUGGCGAAGGCGAUCUGCUGGACCAUAACUGACACUCAGGGACGAAAGCUAGGGGAGCGAAUGGG